ACACGGAGGGUGCGAGCGUUGUUCGGAAUCACUGGGCGUAAAGCGGGUGUAGGCGGUCUAGCAAGUCAGAUGUGAAAGUCCAGGGCUCAACCCUGGAAGUGCAUCUGAAACUGUUAGACUUGAGUACUGGAGAGGGAAGUGGAAUUCCUGGUGUAGGGGUGAAAUCCGUAGAUAUCAGGAGGAACACCGGUGGCGAAGGCGACUUCCUGGACAGAUACUGACGCUCAGACCCGAAAGCGUGGGGAGCAAACAGAAUUAGAAACCCUAGUAGUCC
This 274-nucleotide ribosomal RNA is filed under the name uncultured bacterium. RNAcentral's name for it is "partial 16S ribosomal RNA". It matches the Rfam family "Bacterial small subunit ribosomal RNA", at positions 523 to 796 of the family's 1533-position model. The record is from RNAcentral.